GAUGAACGCUAGCGGCAGGCUUAACACAUGCAAGUCGAGGGGUAUAGUUCUUCGGAACUAGAGACCGGCGCACGGGUGCGUAACGCGUAUGCAAUCUACCUUUUGCAGAGGGAUAGCCCCAGAGAAAUUUGGAUUAAUACCUCAUAGUAUAGCAGUUUCGCAUGAAACCACUAUUAAAGUCACAACAGCAAAAGAUGAGCAUGCGUCCCAUUAGCUAGUUGGUAAGGUAACGGCUUACCAAGGCUACGAUGGGUAGGGGUCCUGAGAGGGAGAUCCCCCACACUGGUACUGAGACACGGACCAGACUCCUACGGGAGGCAGCAGUGAGGAAUAUUGGACAAUGGGCGCAAGCCUGAUCCAGCCAUGCCGCGUGCAGGAUGACGGUCCUAUGGAUUGUAAACUGCUUUGUACAGGAAGAAACACUCCCUCGUGAGGGAGCUUGACGGUACUGUAAGAAUAAAGGAGUCGGCUAACUCCGUGCCAGCAG
Molecule: ribosomal RNA, 487 nt
Filed under: uncultured bacterium
Lineage: Bacteria
Description: bacterial SSU rRNA
Rfam family: Bacterial small subunit ribosomal RNA
Source: RNAcentral